This 448-nucleotide ribosomal RNA is filed under the name uncultured Planctomycetota bacterium. Its description in RNAcentral is "bacterial SSU rRNA". It matches the Rfam family "Bacterial small subunit ribosomal RNA", at positions 217 to 656 of the family's 1533-position model. Lineage: Bacteria; Pseudomonadati; Planctomycetota. The record is from RNAcentral.
GCUUAAAGAGGGGUUAAUGUCCUAUCAGCUAGUUGGUGGGGUAAUGGCCUACCAAGGCAAAGACGGGUAGCCGGCUUGAGAGGGUGGUCGGCCACACUGGGACUGAGACACUGCCCAGACUCCUACGGGAGGCUGCAGUCGAGAAUCUUUCGCAAUGCCCGAAAGGGUGACGAAGCGACGCCGCGUGUGGGUAGAAGGCCUUCGGGUUGUAAACCACUGUCGGGAGUUAGGAAAUGCAAGAGCGUUAAUAGCGCACUUGCUUGACUAAGGCUCCAGAGGAAGCCACGGCUAACUCUGUGCCAGCAGCCGCGGUAAUACAGAGGCGGCAAGCGUUGUUCGGAAUUAUUGGGCGUAAAGAGCACGUAGGCGGCCUUGCAAGUCAGUUGUGAAAGCCUUCCGCUUAACGGAAGAACGGCAUCUGAUACUACAGGGCUUGAGUACGGGAGGG